RNAcentral lists this transfer RNA (85 nucleotides) under Felis catus (domestic cat). It matches the Rfam family "tRNA". From Rfam's summary of the family: Transfer RNA (tRNA) molecules are approximately 80 nucleotides in length. Their secondary structure includes four short double-helical elements and three loops (D, anti-codon, and T loops). The record is from Rfam by way of RNAcentral. Lineage: Eukaryota; Metazoa; Chordata; Mammalia; Carnivora; Felidae.
GCCUGGAUGGCUCAGUCUGUUAAGCAUCUGACUUCGGCUCAGGUCAUGAUCUCAUGACUUGUGGGUUCGAGCCCCAUGUCAGGCU